AUGGCUCAGGAUUAACGCUGGCGGCAUGCCUAAUACAUGCAAGUCGAAUGAGAAGCUUGCUUCUCAUGGCGAACGGGUGAGUAACACGUAGGUAACCUGCCUUACACUCGAGGAUAACCGUUGGAAACGACGGAUAAUACUGGAUAGGACAAAGAUUCGCAUGAAUCGUUGUUUAAAAGCAAUGGUGUAUGAGGGGCCUGCGGUGCAUUAGCUAGUUGGUGAGGUAACGGCUCACCAAGGCGAUGAUGCAUAGCUGGACUGAGAGGUUGAACAGCCACAAUGGGACUGAGAACGGCCCAUACUCCUACGGGAGGCAGCAGUAGGGAAUUUUCGGCAAUGGGGGAAACCCUGACCGAGCAAUGCCGCGUGAACGAUGAAGUAUUUCGGUAUGUAAAGUUCUUUUAUUAGGAAAGAUAGUGACGGUACCUAAUGAAUAAGCUCCGGCUAACUACGUGCCAGCCGCCGC
RNAcentral lists this ribosomal RNA (466 nucleotides) under uncultured bacterium. RNAcentral's name for it is "bacterial SSU rRNA". It matches the Rfam family "Bacterial small subunit ribosomal RNA", at positions 19 to 518 of the family's 1533-position model. The record is from RNAcentral.